CCUACGGGAGGCAGCAGUAGGGAAUAUUGGGCAAUGGAGGCAACUCUGACCCAGCCAUGCCGCGUGCAGGAUGAAGGCGUUAUGCGUUGUAAACUGCUUUUAUAUAGGAAGAAAGAGUUCUUGCGAGAACAGUUGACGGUACUAUAUGAAUAAGCACCGGCUAACUCCGUGCCAGCAGCCGCGGUAAUACGGAGGGUGCAAGCGUUGUCCGGAUUUAUUGGGUUUAAAGGGUGCGUAGGCGGUUUAUUAAGUCAGUGGUGAAAGACGGUCGCUCAACGAUUGCAGUGCCAUUGAUACUGGUAGACUUGAGUGAGAUUGAGGUAGCUGGAAUGGAUAGUGUAGCGGUGAAAUGCAUAGAUAUUAUCCAGAACACCAAUUGCGUAGGCAAGUUACUAAAGUCUCAACUGACGCUGAGGCACGAAAGUAGUGGGUAGUCAAACAAGGAUUAGAUACCCUCGUAGGUACACCACUAGUAACGAAACUNANAACUAACUAGUUGGUGUUCGUUUCGGAGUGGUACGAGAGAAAUAACGUUAAGUUUAAUUACUACCCACGGAGGGUAAGCCGGCCGACGUACGGAAGUAACAACGAAAGUAGUAGGACGGAGAGAGAGCGACGACGACGACGACGAGGGAGGAGG
RNAcentral lists this ribosomal RNA (640 nucleotides) under uncultured bacterium. RNAcentral's name for it is "bacterial SSU rRNA". The stretch from base 1 to 548 matches the Rfam family "Bacterial small subunit ribosomal RNA", at positions 338 to 873 of the family's 1533-position model. The record is from RNAcentral.